CUGGCGGCGUGCCUAACACAUGCAAGUCGAACGGGGUGAGAUCCUUCGGGGUUCACUUAGUGGCGAACGGGUGAGUAACGCGUGAGGAACCUGCCUUUCAGUGGGGGACAACAGUUGGAAACGACUGCUAAUACCGCAUAAUGUAACGAGACCGCAUGGUUUGUUACCAAAGAUUUAUUGCUGAAAGAUGGCCUCGCGUCUGAUUAGCUAGUUGGUGGGGUAACGGGCUCACCAAGGCGACGAUCAGUAGCCGGUCUGAGAGGAUGAACGGCCACAUUGGGACUGAGACACGGCCCAGACUCCUACGGGAGGCAGCAGUGGGGAAUCUUCCGCAAUGGACGAAAGUCUGACGGAGCAAUGCCGCGUGAGUGAUGAAGGUUUUCGGACCGUAAAGCUCUUUUGUUUAUGACGAAUGUGCAUGAUGUGAAUAAUGUUGUGUAAUGACGGUAGUAAACGAAUAAGCCACGGCUAACUACGUG
This 479-nucleotide ribosomal RNA is filed under the name uncultured bacterium. Its description in RNAcentral is "bacterial SSU rRNA". It matches the Rfam family "Bacterial small subunit ribosomal RNA", at positions 36 to 507 of the family's 1533-position model. The record is from RNAcentral.